GAUGAACGCUGGCGGCGUGCCUAAUACAUGCAAGUCGAGCGAACGGACGAGAAGCUUGCUUCUCUGAUGUUAGCGGCGGACGGGUGAGUAACACGUGGAUAACCGACAUAUAAGACUGGGAUAACUUCGGGAAACCGGAUCUAAUACCAGAUAAUAUUUUGAACCGCAUGGUUCAAAAGUGAAAGACGGUCUUGCUGUCACUUAUAGAUGGAUCCGGGCUGCAUUAGCUAGUUGGUAAGGUAACGGCUUACCAAGGCAACGAUGCAUAGCCGACCUGAGAGGGUGAUCAGCCACACUGGAACUGAGACACGGUCCAGACUCCUACGGGAGGCAGCAGUAGGGAAUCUUCCGCAAUGGGCGAAAGCCUGACGGAGCAACGCCGCGUGAGUGAUGAAGGUCUUCGGAUCGUAAAACUCUGUUAUUAGGGAAGAACAUAUGUGUAAGUAACUGUGCACAUCUUGACGGUACCUAAUCAGAAAGCCACGGCUAACUACGUG
This 497-nucleotide ribosomal RNA is filed under the name uncultured bacterium. RNAcentral's name for it is "partial 16S ribosomal RNA". It matches the Rfam family "Bacterial small subunit ribosomal RNA", at positions 28 to 507 of the family's 1533-position model. The record is from RNAcentral.